AGUAGUCACUAACUCGCUAGUCUGUAAGUAGUCUGUGGCCGGACGCACGUGUCUAUCAACAAUGAGAUUUCUUUGUCUAUUAAUUUUACUAUGCACUGUGUCAUUGACCUUAGCUGCACCACAAUCAAAACUGCAAUUCGGUGACAAUGAAAAUAAACCAGUGAUUGAAGAGGUAGUGGUGGAAUCUGUUCUUCACAUCAAGUCUCCGUCGUCAAGACAAGCCCGAACUAACACGAAGACAAACUUACAAGAUGGCUCACGGAUAUCAGAAGCACACUAGUUAUAUAAUAUUAUAAUAUCCAUGCUAUUGUUAUAAUAAUAUUAAUAUUUUCUUAUUCCAAUAAAACAAUUAUAACUUU
Molecule: long non-coding RNA, 359 nt
Organism: Leptidea sinapis
Lineage: Eukaryota; Metazoa; Arthropoda; Insecta; Lepidoptera; Pieridae
Exons: 2
Source: RefSeq, a predicted model, not a curated record